This 20790-nucleotide long non-coding RNA is filed under the name Nicotiana tabacum (common tobacco). Its description in RNAcentral is "long non-coding RNA (NTAB_LNC010993)". Lineage: Eukaryota; Viridiplantae; Streptophyta; Magnoliopsida; Solanales; Solanaceae. The record is from RNAcentral.
UCGAACAUCACCAUCUGAGACAAAUAUAAGUGAAUCCAUUUAUUUAAUAACAAAAUUCAUUCAAGUCUUCAAUCUUGCCUUAAUAACAGAGGAUGAAUUAAUUUAGUAUCAAAGAUAAGAAAAUAAUGGCAAGUACCUUAACCCCCAAUGAUUCUUAUUACCAAACUUUCAUUAUACCGUGACCAAGAAAUACUCAAUCAAGUCAAGAAACAUUCAAUCAAGUCUUCAUUAUCUUAAAAUUCCACAAGCAAACAGUUAAAGACCAAAACCAUUAAAACUCCUUCAAAAACUCAUUUAAAAGAGAAAAGGAACUAUAAAUUCAAACACAUAUCCGGAUCAUUCGACCCUUUAAAUGAAUCCAUCGGAAAAGAACAAAGAAAAAAAAACGGUACACAUAGUGACAUGAAGCAAAUAGAGGGGGAGUUAACAAAUUCUUGUUAUCACCUUAAGUUUAAACCCAUCUCUUAAUUGCUCUUCUAAGCUCGAUUCACAAGAGGGGAAAAGAGGAAGGAGAAGAAAAUGAACAUGUUGAGUAAGUUCUUCCACUAUAUAAAAUUCAACAAAUACAGAGAUUUCGACUCCCAAAAUUUGAAACGAGACUUAACAACAGGAAACGGGCAGAACCGCGAUUCAAUAGCAACACUCGAACAAUGCCGAUGAACUCAAACUCACCUCGAACUCAGAUCAAAUCCACGAGGGAAGUUUAACUCAAAAACUAAGUGUAUUUUUCGGAUUUGAGAAGCAGAAACUGAUUUUUUUUCCUAUAAUUUUACGGAAAUGAACUAAAGAUUGAAUUAGACUCUUUUUUUUUUUGUAUUUUUGCUUUUCUGAAACUUAAACUCAGACUGAAGAUGAACCAAAUAAGAAGAAGAAGAAGAACUCCCUCUUAGAACCCUAAUUUUUUCACUUUUCUUCCUUUUUUUCUAAAAACCCCCCUCCUAUAAAUCAAACCCCCCAAAUAUAUACUCCAUCUCAAAACUUCUAUCCUUGUCAUCUAAGAAAACCCGAAAAUCCUCGAAAAACCUCCAAAAUUCGUUUUUCGACCAGUAAAAGACAAGUGGUGGGAGUAGAUUGAGUGAGACUCCAUCCUAUGCCCCCAUUAAUCCUAAUCUAGUCUUCAAAUGAAAUUCAGGUGAGAUGAGCGCGUGAGGGAGAGGCGGACUCAAUUUGUCAGAGUUUGUUAUGGAUUUGGCUGACGUGGAAGGAAUAUGAGGGGAUGAGACCAUGGUGGGUUCGUUUAUGGUGGGGUUUGGGUUGGGUUAGGGUGGAAGAAGGGUGUGAGGGAUAAGAGGAGUGCGGUUGGGGUCUUUGGGGUUAGGUUUAGGGUUUGGGGAAUAUUGUACUUUUAAAUGGAGUUAAGACAAAAGAUGGGCCGUUGGAUUUGGCAGAAUGGAAGUUUUAGAUUAAAGGAAGCAUGGGUCGGGUUCGAUGGAUAUUGGGGCAGGUUAGUGGGUUUGGAUAGGUCUGGGCGGGUUUGAAGGGGUUAUGGGAUUAGGCUGCCCAGAUUUUAGGCCUCAUGUUUGAAUAGGGCUCCGAAAUUUUACAAAAUUGGGCCAAAAGAAAGCUGAAAAUUCAAUUUAGAUAUCUACAAAAAAAUAUAAAAGCUCUUAAUUGAUUUUAAUAAACUAUAAAUAUUAAAAAUAAAAACUAAAAAUUAAAGUUGAAACUAUUUUUUGGUAUUUUCAAGGAUUAUAUUAGAAUAAAAAUAGGUUAAAAGUAAUAUAUCUUUCUAAAAAUACGUAAUACUGAAUUAAAUAUAAAAGUGAAACUAUUUUUUUGUAUUUUUUAAUUUUUGUACCUAAAAAUAGAAUUAAAUUUAAUAAUAGAGUGAAGUCCUAUAGAAAUAAAUUCAAAUAAAUAUCCUAAAAAUAAUAGGACUAUUAAAGGUAAUUCUAAUGUGUGGGUCAAAAAUUACAUGUCUACAACUGCUCCUCUUUGAUAGGAAGCACGAAGUGUUUCCAGACAAAUAACAACAAGACAUGUUUUUGACCUGACCUUUAUUUAGAGAGACAGAAACUAAAAGAAAAGAGAAUGUGACCGAGCCAUGGUGUCUGAGUUGCCUACAUAUCCUUGACUAUAAAGGAAUCACGUCAUGUGUAGUUCAUGAGUGAGGAGAGCGAUGGAGUAUACCGAGGUGGAGAGUCGAGUGAAGUGUCGUCGAGGUUCCGUUCCGCGGUUCCUGCCAUUACAUCAAAAAUAAAAGAAAAAAUUACAUUAAAAAUAAAAAAAAAAAUUACAGCAAAAUAAAAGAAAAAUACAAGAUCCAAUCUACUUCCUGUCUUGAAUCUUCUUUGAAUUUCUACUUGAUCUUUCAACAUGAAACUGAAGAAUGGACCUUGUUCUUCAGGCGGGCUCCUGAUGCUUCUCUAACUUGACCUUGGAAAUUAAAAUUAACCCUGUUCUUUAGGCGGGCUCCUGAUGCCUCUUGAAUUUGUGAAUUGAAAGUAACUCUGAAAUGAAUUCUCUUGUUCUCCAGGUGGGAGCCUGCUGCUGACUUGAAGUAGGUUUUCUCGUUCUUCAGGUGGGUUCCCGUAACCAACUUAAAACUUGAAAUAAAAUUUCCUCGUUCUCCAGGUGGGCGCCUGCGACUGUGUUUGAAACUUGAAAUGACUUCCCUCAUUCUCCAGGCGGGCGCCUGCAACUUGUUUGAAACUCGCAAUAAAUCUGAAAAGAAUUCCCUUGUUCUCCAGGUGGGCGCCUGUGACCGACUUGGAACUUGAACUGAAUUUCCCCAUUCUCCAAGCGGGCGCCUGCGACUUGCUUGAAACUUGAAAUGAAUUCCCUCAUUCUCUAGGUGGGCGCCUUCAACUUGGUUGAAACUUGAAAUGAAUUCUCUUAUUCUCCAAGUGGGCCCCUGUUGAUGACUUGAAACUUGAAAUGGCUUUGAAAAAAUUCCCUCGUUCUCCAGGUGGGUGCCUGCUGCUGACUUGAAACUUGAAAUGACUUUGAAAAGAAUUCCCUCGUUCUCCAGGUGGACGCCUGUGAUUAUAACAAAAUAGACAAACCAAGGAAAAUCUUUUGCCCCAGUUUGUACCAGGAACAUUUGUGAGUGUUAGUUAAUCUCAUUAUCCAAGAGGUCCUAAAAACUUAAAACUAAAUCCUUGAAAAUUUGAAAUUAAAUUUCAUUAUCCAGGAGGGUCCUGAAAAGCCGAGAAUGAACUUACCUGAGCCAUGCUCCCUUCUUGGAGGAUCCUGAACAAAAUUUCUUGCCCCUGAACCAUGAUUUCUUCAUGGGAGGGUCCUAACAAAUUGAACAAAUUUUCUUGCCCCUGUUUCAGAUAAACAAAAUCUUGUUAGUUUGAAAAUGUGGUGGUUUGUUUGUGGUAUCACUGCUGAGUGUCUGUUUCUGCCAUUGCCAUGCUUCAUUCUGAUUAGCUGCUUCAGGCCAGCAAGGAGUUUUUUAACCUUUUGAUUGAAACUGGACCACAAAAUCUCUGAAUGGCCUGAAUCUCUUACACUCACUUGUUACAUUGUGUUUUCGUUCUGAAAGUUGCUAAACUUUUGUAUUUUCUCAAAAUUCCAGAAUCAUCUUACCGCCUAAACUUCAGUUAUCACCAUACUGCUUAUUCUAAAUUAUGUCACUUGUGAUGUGCUUGGCUAAACUCCGCUUUGUGCAAUUUAAAAGCUGGUAGUAGGCUUUGGGAUCCUUUCUUGCUUGUUCAACAAGGGCUGACUCGAAAGAGACUCAUAAAGACAAACUCAAAGAGCACAGAGAAGUGAUUUUUGGCAAAAGGAUUGAAGGAAAAUUUUCAACAAAUAUGACUAUGUGAAGAAGAAUGGGAGAAAAAGAAUUAUCUGAGUGAGGCGUCUAGCUCUAAUGAUCAUGACAUGUAUUUCGGAUUGAUCAGCCUAAUCCGUUCAACCAAUCAUAUUUUCAGUUCAUGUCAUGCCUUAUACUUCAAAACCGGACUUUCAAUGAUCCAAUUUCUCUGAAAGUCACGAGUCUCAUUCGACUUGUAGUACCCCAAAGGGUUUUCAAUAGCAAGCCUCUCUCAUUUGUUCAUCUCUCAACUCACCAUCGCCUUACGGUGCCCAAGAGGGUUUUCACCAAUAAGACUCUCAUUUUAAAUUUUCUCUCAGCUCACCAUCGCCUUAUGGUGACCAAGAGGGUUUUCACCAAUAAGACUCUCUCAUUUUAUUCAUUUUUCCUUUGCGCCCAUGAACCAAUUUCUUUGAAAGAGGGUUUUCACUAGCAUGUAAAUCAUACCUCUAUCUCACUUGAUUUGGCAUCCUCAAAUAUUGAUCAGAAGGUCUUUCUUUGGACCAUAAUGUUAUCUUUUGGAUAAGACUAGAAAGAAAGGAUGACAUGAAGGCUUAAAGUCAUUUAAGAUGAAAAGGGUUCAAAAUUAUAACUUUUUGAAUCAGAUCUUUUGCAAAACCAAAACUUCUGCCCCAUUUGUUUUGGGUCUGGGGAAUUUUGGAUUUUUAUUUUGAGAGGACCGAACCAUGUAAGGCUGCCUACGUAUCCAUAAAAGGAAUCAGGUCGAACGUAGUUCAAACAAAAUGUUGGUUUAUUUUGUUGUUUUUCUUUCUUGUCUCUUUUUUUUUCUUCCUUUUUUUUCUCUCUUUCUUUUGUUCUUCUCUUUUUUCUUUUCUUCUUUUUCUCUUUUCUUUUUCUUCUUUUUCUCUUUUUAUUUUUAUUUUCUAGUUUCUAACUCUACUUCUGAUUCCAAAAGAGGGGUAUGGAACAAAAUAAAUUAAAGCUCAAAAGGGGUAGAAAAAGAUAAAAGUGUUUGGGUAGCAGAAUAAAAUGUUUUCGUCAUACCAAACUUCAAAAAUGUCAAGUACAAGCAUGCAAUUGAAGAUAAGCGAAAAAAUCAUAUGCAGUAUCUAUUGACUGCAUCAGAAUUGAUAGUCAUAUCUACACAUCUGCCUUCUAUGUCUGUUAAAUACAAAGCACUAUUGGGCAACACUCUUGUCACCAUGAACGGCCCCUACCAGUUUGGGGCGAACUUGCCUUUAGCUUCAGCCUGAUGUGGAAGGAUGCGUUUCAAUACCAUCUGGCCCACUUCGAAUUUCCGAGGACGCACCUUCUUGUUGUAUGCUCUUGCCAUUCUCGUCUGAUACAAUUCACCAUGACAUACUGCAGCCAAUAUUUUCUCAUCAAUCAAACCCAACUGCUCUAGCCGGGCUUUGACCCACUCAUCAUCAUCAAUUUUAGCUUCUGCAAUUAUCCGAAGUGAUGGAAUCUCAACUUCUACCGGUAUAACUGCCUCAGUUCCAUAUACAAGCAAAUAAGGAGUUGCACCUACUAAAGUACGAACAGUAGUGCGAUAACCCAAUAAGGCAAAAGGUAACUUUUCAUGUCAUUGCCUAGAACCUUGCACCAUCUUACGAAGUAUCUUCUUUAUAUUCUUGUUAACAGCCUCAAUAGCUCCAUUCGCCUUGGGACGGUACGGAGUGGAGUUUCGAUGCAUAAUUUUGAACUGUUGGCAUACCUCUUUCAUCAAAUGACUGUUGAGGUUGGCAGCAUUGUUUGUGAUAAUCACCUUAGGAAUUCUGAACUGACAAAUGAUAUUUGAAUGAACAAAAUCCACCACUGCUUUCUUGGUCACAGACUUGAAAGUUACAGCUUCGACCCACUUGGUAAAGUAAUCAAUGGCCACCAGAACAAACUUGUGCCUGUUUAAUGCUGCCGGUUCAAUUGGUCCAAUGAAUCCAUGCCCCAAGCAAAAAUAGCCAAGGUGUAGACACUGUAUACAACUCAGAUGGUGGGGAGUGAAUCAAAUCACCGUGCACCUGGCAUUGAUGACAUUUGCGAACAAAGCUGAUGCAAUCUCGUUCCAUGGUGAGCUAAUAAUAACCUGCUCGGAGUAUCUUCUUUGCCAAGACAUACCCAUUCAUAUGCAGACCACAAACUCCAGAAUGCACUUCGGCCAUGAUAGUUGAAGCUUCUGUAGCAUCUAUGUACCUCCGUAAUCCUAGAUCUAGAGUCUUCUGGUACAAGAUUACCCCACUUAAGAAAAAUCCACUAGCCAGACAUCGGAUGGUUCUCUUUUGAUCAUAUGUAGCAUGUACUGGAUAUACCCCCGACUUGAUGUAUUCCUUGAUAUCAUGGAACCAAGGUUCACCAUCGAUUUGCUCUUCAACCAUAUUAUAAUAAGCAUGUUGAUCAAGAACUUGGAUAAGCACGGGGUCGACAUAAGCCUUGUAUGGAUGAUGUAACAUUGACGCCAGAGUAGCCAAAGCAUCGGCAAUCUCAUUAUGAAUCCUGGGAAUAUGUCUGAAUUCUACCAACCUGAAUCGUUGACAAAGAUCAUGCAAGCACUGUCGGUAUGGUAUGAGCUUCAAAUCCCGAGUGUCCCAUUCUCCUUGAAUCUGGUAAACCAACAAAUUUGAAUCUCCUAGAACCAUUAUUUCCUGGACUCCCAUGUCUAUAGCUAAUUCAAACCCAGAAUGCAUGCUUUGCACUCAGCCAUGUUGUUGGUGCAAUAAAAUCAAAGUUGGGCUACUGCAGGGUAGUGUUGCCCUAUUUUAGAGAUGAGUACAACCCCUAUUCCGACACCCUUCAUGUUAGCAGCUCCAUCAAAGAAGAGUUUCCAACCUGGCUUUUCAUCAUGAUCGACCUCGUCAACAUACAUCACUUCUUCAUCAGGAAAAUAAGUUUUCAGUGGCUCAUAUUCUUCAUCCACCGGGCUCUCAGCCAAGUGGUCAACCAAGGCUUGGUAUUUCAUCGCGGUCCGAGUCACAUAGAUGAUGUCAAACUUUAUGAGUAGAAUCUGCCACUUUGCAAGUCUUCCUGUGGGCAUAGUCUUCUGAAAGAUAUACUUUAGAGGAUCCAUACGAGAAAUGAGGUAAGUAGUGUAGGACGAAAGAUAAUGCUUCAACUUUUGUUCCACCUAAGUCAGGGCGCAACAUGUCCUCUCAACAAAAGUGUACUUAACCUCAUAAGGAGUGAACUUCUUACUGAGAUAAUAGAUUGCUUGCUCCUUCUUCUCCGUGAUGUCAUGUUGACCCAAUACACAUCCAAAAGAGUUAUCCAGGACUAUCAAAUAGAGAAUUAAAGGUCUUCCAGGCUCUAGUGGGACCAACACAGGUGGGUUCGACAGGUACCUCUUAAUCUUAUCAACUGCUUCUUGACAUUCGUCAGUCCACUUAACUGCAUCAUUCUUCUUUAACAGCUUAAAGAUGGGCUCACAAGUUGUCGUGAGUUGGGCAAUAAACCUGCUGAUAUAAUUUAACCUUCCGAGCAAGCUCAUCACCUCUGUUUUGUUCUUGGACGGUGGUAGCUUUUGAAUGGAUUUGAUCUUCGAUGGAUCUAACUCAAUAUCGCAUCGACUGACCACGAAUCCCAACAGUUUCCCAGACGGGACACCAAAUGCACAUUUUGCUGGAUUGAGCUUGAGGUUAUACUUGCGGAGCCUUUGGAAAAACUUCCUCAAAUCCUUGACACGGUCAGACUGCUUCUUUGACUUUAUGAUCAUAUCAUCUACAUAAACCUCAAUCUCCUCGUGUAUCAUGUCAUGAAAUAUGGUAGUCAUCGCCCUCAUGUAAGUUGCCCCAGCAUUCUUCAAACCAAAUGGCAUUACCCGGUAGCAAUAUUUUCCCCAUGGCCUGAUGAACACUGUCUUUUCUGCAUCUUCCUCGUCCAUCAAGAUCUGGUGAUAUCCCCCGUAGCAAUCCACAAAAGACCCAAUCUCAUGCUUGACACAAUUAUCGAUCAGAAUGUGAAUGUUCGGCAAUGGAAAAUCAUCUUUUGGGCUCGCUUUGUUAAGAUUAUGGUAAUUAGCACAUACCCUGGUCUUACCAUACUUCUUUGGUACGGGCACAACAUUAGCUAACCGAGUGGGAUAUCGAGUGACCCGAAUGACCUUUGCAUCAAGCUACUUUGUGAUUUCUUCUUUGAUCUUCACACUCAUGUAAGUCUUGAACUUUCUUAACUUUUGCUUGACAUGAUGGAAUGCUGGAUCAGUUGGCAAUUUAUGAACUACCAAAUCAGUGCUCAAGCCCGGCAUAUCAUCAUACGACCAUGCAAAGACAUCUUUGUACUCAAGCAAUGUUUUGAUUAUUUUUUUCCUUAAUUUGCGGUUCAAGAUGCACACUUAUCUAGGUUUCCCUAACAUUAUCCUGGUCUCCUAAAUUGAUUGCUUCAGUUUCAUUCAAAUUAGGCUUUGGUGUUUCUUCAAAUUGUUUUAGCUCUUUACUGAUUUCCUCAAAUGCUGCUUCUUCAUCAUAUUCUAUUUCAUCAUCAUACUCUACUUACUUGAAUUAUUAUUUCAGAAUUAGAUUGGCUUUUAAGACUUGGUUGAAAAUUCCCCAUGCAUGUCAUGUCAUUGCAACCAGCAUAAAAAGAACUGUACAAAAGAAAAACAAAAUAAAACACUAUUAGGAAUAACGAAAAACGGGAAAUUGCAUUUUAUUAAAAAUAAAAGAAUAAAAGGGUUUGAACAUCCAAACAAGCAAAAACUAAAAAUCUGGAUUACGACCCUGGAAAAACCCAGAUAACAGAAAGGAAAACUAAGCAAACUACCAAAACUCCUUCCUGGUAGGGAGAGGAGUAGCUUCCCAAUUUCUAAGCUUAACAUUUGGCCCAAUGAAUUGCACAUCUGCUUUACUAGAACCUUCACCAACUUCUACCAUAGUAACCUCAUCGAACAGACUCUAGAACCUCUUGAUCGGCUCUUGAUCAACAUCGACCACAGGUUUUGGUACUGAUGAGGUUGUUGGUUUUUCGGCCCCUAGCUUGACAAAAGACUUAGAGAUGUGUGGGACAGGAUUAGGGAGAGACCACACCUUCUGUUUCAGAUUUUUAACCCUUUUUACUUCCUUCUCUGUGGGCAUGAAUCCCAAACUAAAUGUACCAAGAUUUCCACCGGGGAAUACUGGAUGCACAAUACCCUGCAUAGAUGAGCCCAGACCCUUGUCCGACACAAAAUCAUUCUUCAACAUUUCAUUUGCUACCAUGACCGACGCGGAGGGUAACUUAGGACCUGGAAUGCAUUUUCCUUCAGGAAUCUUCUCAACAAACACUGUUUUAAAAGUUUGAUAGACCCAAGGUCCCUUAAUAUUUUCAGCCUCAAUAAACGGAACAAUUGUGUCAUUACAAGUUGAUAAGUCCUCAUCACCGUGCAUAACUAUUUCCUGCCGGUCCCAUUCGAAAUUCACCAUUUGAUGUAGAGAUGAUGGGACUGCCUUAGCAGCAUGUAUCCAGGGCCUGCCCAACAACAGAUUAUAGGAGACGGCUACAUCUAGCACUUGGAACUCCAUAGUGAAUUCAAUUGGCCCUAUUGUCAGUUCGAGCAUUAUAUCGCCAAUAGAAUCCUUUCCCCCUCCGUCAAAACCUCGAACACAUAUAUUGUUCCUGUGGAUCCUUUCUGUACCGAUUUUCAAAUUUUGCAGAGUGGAGAGUGGGCUAUUUGUGCUGGAACUGUUAUCAACCAAUACCCUCGAGAUCACCGAAUCCUCGCACUUCACUGUGAGAUAAAGAGCUCGGUUGUGUUCUGCACCCUCCAGAGGAAGUUGUCAUCCGAGAAAGUGAUCUUGUUUGCUUCAAAGAUCUUGUUAGCAAUCUUCUCCAAAUGGUUCGCCGUGAUCUUAUCAGGAAUAUGGGCCUCAUUCAAAAUCUUCAUGAGGGCCCCGCGGUGUUCAUCUGAAUGUAUCAGCAAAGAUAAAAGAGAAAUCUGAGCUGGUGUUUUCCUUAAUUACUCCACAAUGGAAUAGUCCUGCACCUUCAUUUUUCUCAAUAACUCUUUCGCCUCUUCUUCGGUGACUGGCUUCUUAACUGGAAUCUGGAUAUCUUUGAACGUCUUGGCUUUCCUCAACUUUUUUGGUGUAAAGCAUCUCCCGGAACGAGUCAAUCAUCUAGUUUCAUUAACUUCUUCCUCUACCUCUUUCCCUUUAUAUGUUACUAUCACUUACUUGUAGUUCCACGGAACAGCUUUGGUAUCAACUACUGGCAACUGGGUUACUAGUUUAAUGACAACAGGGGUAAUAGGAGCCCCUUUUACAACUAUGACAGGCUUACUCGGGACCCCUGGCACUACCACUUUUGGACUUUCCUAGCUUGCCCCAAUAUCCUGCGAAAGCCCUUUCAUAACCAACACCGGUGGCUUCAAAUUAAACGAGCUCAAUUUCUCUGUCACCUUCUCCAAUGUCAGGGACAUUUCUUUGGUAGAGUCUAGAGCCUUGACCAAAUUACUUUCACUGGCCUGAAUCAUCAUCAUGGACUUUGAAGACUUUUCGGGCUCCCCAUCCUUAUGAACUGCUUCAAUCAUAUGCAUCUCUGCAUGGGCUGGCAAAGGGUUUUGGUUGAUGUUCGGCGUGUUUGGGAUUUGGACUACAAUUUGGUUUGUAUUAAUAAGCUCUUGGAUUGCCCUUUUCAAAUGCCAGCACUUCUCUAUGUCAUGCCUUGGAGCAUCAGAACAAAGGCGCAUAUGAGGGAAUAAUCGAGGUUCUUUGGAGGGGGAUUUAGUAUCUUUGACUCAAUUGGCCUCAAGACGUCCAACUACCUUAACCUUUGAAAUAGACUAGCAUAGGACUCCCCAAGUGGGGUAAAAGUUUGUUUCCGUUGCUGCCUUUAUCUUUUAUACUCUAGCCUUGGUCGAAAAUUCAGACCAGUGAGGUUUCGGAAAGGUUGUGGAGGUGGAUAAGUAUUUUAUAGAGUUAGAGCACACCAUUGCGGGUAAGGAGGGGUUUGUGUAUAUGACUGUGCGUGGUGAACAUGGUAUUGGGGUGGUCUGGUUGAGUACUGGGGGUCCGAUGGUGGGAAAUACUGCUGGGGUGGAUUAUAUAGAGCUUGGAUGUAGGCUGCAGGUCGAGGUCGAGGUUGGUUAUAUUGAUGAGGUGAACCCCUCUGGCCAUGCCAUGGUCCGGAGACAACCAUAGCGACAUCUUCCUUCUUUUUCUUUCCUAGCAGACUGCGGUACCGCUCUGGACAGAGGCAGAUCUAGGAUUUUAGAUCUAUGGUUCACCAUUUAAAGUUAUGGGUUCAUAUCUACUAUUUAUUGCAAUUUUACUGAUUUUUUAUACAUAAAUUUAUGCUCCCCGUUAAAAGUACUGGGUUCAGUUGAACCCGGUGGUUCUACACUGCAUCCGCCACUGGCUCUGGAUUGCUUGUGUGGUCAUUUUUAUAGCAGAGUAGCUCAUGAUCUUGCUCGGCUUGAGCCCCUCUUCCACCAUUUCUCCCAUCUUUACCAUGUCAUUAAAAGGCUUACCAAUGGUAAAGAUCAAAUGGCCAAAGUAAGUAGGCUCUAGGGCUUGAAGAAAGUAUUCAACCAUCUCAUCUUCCUCCAUUGGAGGAUUGACUCGUGCAGCUUGCUCCCUCCGUUGGAACCCAUAUUCUCUAAAGCUUUCGCUGUGCCUCUUUUCCACCUUUGUCAGAGAUAGGCGAUCUGGGACAAUGUCUAUAUUGUACUGAAUAUGCCGGGAAAAGGCCUGAGCCAUAUCAUCCCAUGUGUACCACCUGCUGGCAUCCUGGCGGGUGUACCAUUCUAAAGCUGCCCCACUCAGACUCUGGCUGAAGUACGCCAUCAGUAAUUCGUCUUUCCCCCGCCGCCUCUCAUUUUGCUACAAUAACCUCUCAGAUGAGCUACAAGAUCCCCAUGUCCGUCAUACAAGUCAAACUUGGGCAUCUUGAACCCGGCAAGCAGUUGGACAUCAGGGAACAAACACAAAUCCUUAUAAGUCACAUUCACCUGGCUUCUUAACCCUUGCAUAUUUCUUAAUGAUUUCUCCAAACUCUUUACUUUCCUAAAUAUCUCUUCUUGCUCCGUGUUCUUUGGUGAUUUCUCAGUUUCUACAUGAGGCUCAAAGUGAAGAGUGUAAGAGUAAGGAUCUGUGCCUUUAAAGGUAGGUUCGAGGGCAUAGUAUUGGGUAUCUGGAGCUUGGAAUGCGGGCUCACUAGAGGAUCGAUGGAGGGUAGCUUGUAGAGGGGGUACAAAAAUGGGAGCAGAUGUUGGAGCAGGGUAUGAGGUUGUUUUGGCGGGUGGAGCAGGAAAAUUUGGGCCGAAGUGCCAGGGUAGGAGUGGUAAGGGGUGAAGCCAGGUGUGUGUUGUAGGGAAAGAUCAACUGUACUUGGCAUCUAGGCUUGGGACAGUGGUGGAAUGGAAGCAGGGUUUUCUGCAUAGUUGGUAGGGAAUGAGGGUGUCCCUUAAUCCAGGCCUGAUACAUUUUCGCCAUUUGAUUCUUCAACCUUCGGACCUCCUCUUUCGGUUCCGACUCUGAUUCUACAAUCUCCCUUGGAGGGUCUACAACUCAUGUGUCUAUUUCUUUGCUAGUCAUGACUAUCUAACGCUUUGACCUGGUGUUGUAUCGAUGACUUGAAGGGAUGCCAACAAACUAACCACCUUACGUGCUAUGCACCUAGCAACAAUUAGCGGUUCUAAAAUGGCUUUGAGGGUCGCAGGGCCAUAUGGCAUCAUCCCAAUUUGCCCAUUUCAAUCCUUCAUUCUCUUUCUUUUCUAGCACCUCUUAUCAUUUUCUUCCCACUUUUCUCUCAUUUUUUUCUUUUUUUGGCUUAUCACUCUCUUCUUUUCUUUUGAAGAUGAUUCGAUCGAACUCGAUAUAGGUUGCCCACAUAUCAUGUCCCUCAUGAAUCAGACCAAACGUAGUUCUGGAAAAGUGAUAGAAAAUAAACUAAAAAUAAAAAAUCUUUUUUGGAUUUUUGAUUUAAAAUUUUUCGGUUUACAAAAUGGGAAGUACGAGAAUGAAAUACUAAUAGACUCCACUACACUACGACAAACUCUAACACUACCUUCAAGACUCAGUACUAUAAGACUAGAAGAUAACGACAACAUAAACAGACUCAAAACACAUAAAAGACUCCUCAAGUAGCUCCUGGAUAUGAUGCCCCUGGCUGGGAUGGUCCUGGGUUGUCCGUCAUGCUCAAACUCUGUAACAUGCCUCGUAAAGAAACAUCGAUGCUGGGAAUAAAGACCCUGGCAUGUGCCCCCGCCUCCUGAAGGUCGACCCUAAACAAAUACUGGCCAUGCUGCUCCAUGUUUGCUGCAAUUCGCGCUAACUGAGACUUUAUCAACUCAAGCUUACCCCAAGGAUCCUGAUCCGAAGCCUCAUCAAAAUCAUCUAUCUGAACUGCCCGACCCCUAAGCUGUGCUGGCAAUGGGGUGCUGACCCUUGGUGGGACGGACUGUAACCAAAUCAAAUACUCCUGAGUACACUCGGUUCUGCCAAUGUCCUCUAUUAAUGUAUUUUUCUUCAUCCUCUUGCAUUAUUCCAGUAUUGCACGUACUUGAUUUCGUCAACCACCUUUCUGCUAAAAUUCAUGAUGUGCCUCCGAAGAUUUAGAGUUGGCGGCUCCUCUUGUCUCCUGCCCAACUGUCGCAUCACCCUAAUGGGGGGGAGGUGUACAGCCUAACACACUUAAAUCCUAUCAAUACCAAGAAAGGCUGCAUGCAACAUCCUACCAAGAUCUCAUCUAAAGGUAGCCAAAGGUAAGCCCACAAAACAUUCCCAUUUGUCCUUAAGCCAAGGAACUCAACCCAAGCUAUGACGCCUACUGGGUAUGUAAACUUAGGAGAUUUCAUCCUACGCUCAAUGCAUACCACUCGAUCCCUUAAGGCACGGUCGAUGGGACAAAGUAAGGAAGCGGUGUGUAAAUGAUCCAUCAUCCACAAUUGCAGCAAAAGGUUACUUCUCUCAAAAUACCUGAUACCACCCCUAACCUCACUCAUGGCUCGAUACAACUCUGCUAAGAUCAUCGGCACAACGGUAACGAUUUUGCGUUGCUUCUCAUGAAAUAGUGUCAUUACCACUUAUUGCAGACGGGUGCUAAUAUGCCUCUUAUCCAUAGGAAACACCAAUAAUCCCAACAAAGCAAGGUUGAAAGCUUUGAGGCGACGUCUUUGCCAUUUUGCCUUGGUUGUGCAAAACUCAUCCCAAAAAACGUCAAAACUAUCUUGUGGUCCAAAUCUAGCAAACAAAUAAUCCAAGGAUAUCCAUGACUGCUCGAGGUAUCCUAAAUGCUUGUUGUCUUUCAGGCCCAGGUCGCUAAGGAAUCUUGACCUAGAGUGAUCUCGGGGGAGUAUCAUGUCUUUGCCUAUAUAGUUUAAACGAGUAAGACCAGACAUUUCUGCCAAGGUAGGAGUCAUCUCACAUUCUCCAAAUCUGAAAACCAAAUUUUGCGGAUCCUAAUAGGUCAACAUCGCCUCCACUAAGUCUGGGCAAGGUGUGAUAUCAAGAAGUGAGGUGAGGGUACCCAAUUUCUCCAUUAGCUCAUGUUGCUCUAACAGUGAAAAUAUUUUCCACCAUUUGACCAACUUCCUAGGAAUCUUUACUACCAUCAACACUUUGGAUCGAAUCAGCGGGUCCAUACCUGAAUGAAGAGAACAUGGUUAGCGACUCGGGACACUACGUGACACCACAACACUUCCAAGUGGACAGAUGCAAGACACGAUUGGGCUAUUUUUACAAAUUGGCCUAAGUGGCAGAGGGUGGCUAUUAGUGCAAACUCGACAAAGUUGACCCCUAAUGCAUGAAAAAUACCCCAUUUACGGCUUACACCACUUCAAAAUCCCAACAAUCAUGGCCUUAAAAAUUACUUUGCGAAAAUGACCAUUUUGCAAAAAUGGCCGAUAUGGCCGAAUGUGGCUAGGGACGCAAAUACCACAAGGACGGGACUUAAAGGAAUGGACACUUAGUUGUGUUCUAAAAUUCUAAGACACGGGUCACUGAACCAUUUUUGCAAAACUGACCACAUUUUGCAAGAAUGGCCGAUGUAGCCAAAAGUGGCUAGACAUGCAAAUUCAAUAGGAAUGGACCUUAAAACUGAAAGGACACCUUGUUGUAGACACAAGACUCUAAGAUAUGGGAUAACAAAAUAUUUUGAGCGAAUAGCCCUAUUCUGCAAAAAACGGCCGAUGUGGCCAAAUGUGGCUAAACAUGCAAGAAUUGGCUAAGACCUCGCGAAGACAAGAACCUAAGACUCACUAGGAAGAUCGGACCCUAUGUGGGCUGCUUACGUAUCCCGCCCCGAAAGACGAGAAUCAGGUAUGCGUAGUUCGGGCAGAUUGGAUACGAGAGAGAAUUAAAAAACACUAAUUUAAAGAAAACAUAUUUUUUGUAUUUUUUUUAAAAAAAUGAUGAAACAUGUAAAAAAUCUUUUGGAUUCUCUUUUUUCAUAUUUUUUGAAAAAUAAUGGAAAAGUGCAAAAUCUUUUUGAAUUUUUCAUUUUUAUUUUUUUGUCUUUUUCUUGAAAAGGUUGUGAAAGACAAUUGUAACUGGGCCCUACUUGCUUAAUUUUUGUACUUCACCCUCUUUUCCAAACAUCAGUCUGUCAAAUAACCUUUCUACCCUCAAAUAUGCAACAUGUAUCACAUAGGGACGAUUGAAUAUUUUUUUGGGCCACGAGCCCAUUUUGACAAAAUUUGAAUAGGCCUCCUAUAAAGGGACACGAUACCUGGGACCGAGCCCUGCUAGGUCUAAAUGACAUGAUGCAAAUAAAAAUGAUCUAAAGGCAGACCUAAGUUUGGGGUUCACUAACAAGGCAAAUCGGGGGAGCGUAUGGUCGAUGGUGGCUGCUCAAGCUUUCCACCCACCACAUACGUCUGACGCCCCCUCCUAAAAUAAGGGUGACUCGACAAAGAGUUCGUGCACGCUACGCAUACUCCGAGACUUGUUGCAGAAAGAAGACUCAUAGUUAUGCAAAUGAUGACAGUUAUAAAGCGGUAAACACAUAAGGAAAAGCGAUAAACAAAUAACCAACAAAAUAGAAAAUACGACAAACAAAAUAAACAAACCAAAUAAAGAAAACAAACAUCUCAACCGAAUAUCCUAAAAGCCAACAAGAUCAAGUACUAGCUCGAACUUGCAAGUCCCAGCAGAGUCGUCAGAGCUGUCACACCCUUUUUUUUACCAACUUCACUAACCCUCUUUAAAUAAUACUCCCUCUGUUUCAAUUUAUGUGAACACAUUUGACUAGGCACGAAGUUUAAGAAAAGAGAGAAGAUUUUUGAUCUUGUGAUAUAAAAUGAGGCACAUAUAUUUUGUAUAGCUAUAAAUCAUUCUGUAAAGGUAAAAUAUUUCUAAAUAAGGAAAUGGGUCAUUCUUUUUGGCACGAACAAAAAAGGAAAUAGGUUCACAUAAAUUGAAACGGAGGGAGUAAAAAAAGAUUUGUAAAGCUCCAAAGGUUUUCCAAUUCGAAAGUGACAAAAUAUUUGUUUUAAAAGGGAAUAACUCUGAGUCGCCACCUGACAUUGGUUUUAGUGUGCCAGAUCACCGUUUUUUUUUUAAAUGAUUUUCCUUUUAAAACACUUUGGACUCUAAAUUAAGUCUGCACCAGAGAUUCGGGUAAAGGGGUUUAUAUGACUCGGAAGAAGGUGUUAGGCAUUCCCCAAGUCCCGUAACUAGUGCGGUUGCUUACUUGAUCUAGUCGACUUUUAAAAUAUUCAAGUUGAGGUAAAAUCACAGAAAAGGAAAAUAAACACACACGAGGCUCGAGGUCGUCCCCAUCUAAUAAAAGAAAAAUAAAAAUACUACGAGUUCUAUUAUCGAUCUCCAAAUACAAAUACUUCGAGGCAUACCCCAGAAUAAAAUAUAUACAAAUCCUUCGGGGCAUUCUCCGGAUAAAUUUAACUAAGGGGGACCUCUCACCUCAAAAGAAACUAAAACACGAGCUUCCUAAAGGCUUGUCUACCCAAAUAUGGUCGGCCUAAGCAUGCUCCUAACGAAUACUAUGACAAAUAAAGAAAAUAAAAGAGGACUAAAUAAAAGAACAGUCUAAUUCAUGCUCAUUUUUUUAGCUUUUUAUUUUUAUUAGGUCGAGCUCGAUACAUAAAGCAUGCAAAUAGAUUUAAUCGCUAAUGGGCUUUGGCCUUGCCCCCACUCCCAUGGACUAAUGCAUUCGUCAUUUAAAAUAUCCCAGCAUGCAAAUGUAAAAUAGUCAUCCAAACAAAUAGGCACUCAAAUCAUUGAAGGAAAAUCAAACAGGGAACCAAAUAAAAUAAUAUAAGACUAAAUGACGAACAAGUAAAAGGAAGUGAAUCAAAGCCUUUGGAAGAGCCAUUAAGAGAUGUUACCACUACCCAAUUCUCUACUAAAUUCUCAUACCCCAAAUAUCACACAACUCAAAUCCCCCUUUGGAUAUUACAAAUAUAUGCCAAACCGUUCAAGUGAAACAAUGAGACUAUCUAAUGAAUUAAUUAACACACGAGGGUCGUUGAAUGAAAAUGUGAUUUAAAAGCAUCAGAUAUACCACAAACUUAACAAAGUAAAACUCACUUUAACCAUGAUCAAUCAAGAGAACAUUUCUUGAGUAGCUAAGCACAUUAUCAAAACUUUUUAAACUAUUAGUACUAGUGAUAAAAUGAUGAAAACAGAUUUUAGAGCCAGGCAACUUUCCUUCACAGCAUAUAACCUUUAACAUGAAGAUCACUCCAACAUUUAGAAUUAAGUAACACAUGGUCAGAUUGCGCUUAAAAUGUUGUCAGACUAAUCAAUCACACCUAGAGCUCCAUAGAAGCGCACAAGAAAUAUUUGAUGGGCAAAAUCUCGCCCACAUGCCAAAUCUCGAAAGAAAGAAAACUAAAUUAGACCAAAUAUGAGUUGAAAAACUUGUUGUAAUAAUUUACUACUCGAACAUCACCAUCUGAGACAAAAAUAAGUGAAUCCAUUUAUUUAAUAACAAAAUUCAUUCAAGGCUUCAAUCUUGCCUUAAUAACAGAGGAUGAAUUAAUUUAGUAUCAAAGAUAAGAAAAUGAUGGCAAGUACCUUAGCCCCAAUGAUUCUUAUUACCAAACUUUCAUUAUACCGUGACUAAAUAAUACUCAAUCAAGUCAAGAAACAAUCAAUCAAGUCUUCAUUAUCUUAAAAUCCCACAAGCAAACAGUUAAAGUCAAAAACCAUUAAAACUCCUUCAAAAAUUCAUUUAAAAGAGAAAAGGAACUAUAAAUUCAAACACAUAUCCGGAUCAUUCGACCCUUUAAACGAAUCCAUCGGAAAAGAACAAAGAGGAAAAAAAUGGUACAUAUAAUGACAUGAAGCAAAUAGAGGGGUAGUUAACAAAUUCUUGUUAUCACCUUAAGUUUAAACCCAUCUCUUAAUGGCUCUUCUAAGCUCGAUUCACAAGAGAGAUAAAGAGGAAGGAGAAGAAAUAGAACAUGUUGAGUAAGUUCUUCUACUAUAUGAAAAUUCAACAAAUAUAGAGAUUUCGACUCCCAAAUUUGAAAAGAGACUUAGCAACAGGAAACGGGCGGAACCGCGGAUCAGUAGCAAAACUCGAACAGCGCCGAUGAACCCGAAGUCACCUCGAACUCAGAUAAAAUCCAUGAGAAAAGGUCAACUCAAAAACUAAGUGUAUUUUUCGGAUUUUAGAAGUAGAAGCUGAUUUUCUUUUCCUGUAAUUUUAAGAAAAUAAACUAAAGAUUGAAUUAGACUCUUUUUUUUUGUAUAUUUGCUUUUCUGGAACUUAAACUCAGACUGAAGAUGAACCAAAUGAGAAGAAGAAGAAGAAGAAGAAGAAGAAGAAGAAGAAGAAUAAGAAGAACUCCCCCUUAGAGCCCUAAUUUUUUCACUUUUCUUCCUCUUUUUUUCUAAAAAUACCCCCCCCCCCCCACCCUAUAAAUCCCCAAACCCCCCCCCCCCCCCCCAAAUAUAUACUCCAUCUCGAAACUUCUAUCCUUGUCCUCCAAGAAAACCCGAAAAUCCUCUAAAAACCUCCAAAAUUUGAUUUUUCGACCGGUAAAGGACAACUGGAGGGAGUAGAUUGAGUGAGACUCAAUCCUACGCCCCCCAUUAAUUCUAAUCUAGUCUUUAAAUGAAAUUCGGGUGAGAUGAGCGCGUGAGGGAGAGGCGGGCUCAAUUUGUCAUAGUUUGUUAUGGAUUCGGCUGACAUGGAAGGAAUAUGAGGGGAGGGGACCAUGGAGGGUUCGUUUAUUGUGCGGUUUGGGUUGGUUUAGGGUGGCAGAAGGGUGUGAGGGAGAAGAGGGGUGCGGCUAGGGUCUUUAGGAUUAGGUUUAGGGUUUGGGGAAUAUUAGACUUUUAAAUGGAGAUAAGAUAAAAGAUGGGCCAUUGGAUUUAGCGGAAUGGAAGGCUGAGAUUAAAGGAAGCAUGGGUCGGAUUCGAUGGGUAUUGGGGCGGGUUAGUGGGUUUGGACAAGUUUGGUUUGAAGGGGUUAUGGGAUUGGGCUGCCCAGAUUUUGGGCCUCAUGUUUGAAUUGGGCUCCGAAAUUUUACAAAAUUGGGCCAAAAGAAAACUGAAAAUUCAAUUUAAAUACCUAUAAAAAAUAUAAAAACUCUUAAUUGAUUUUGGUAAACUAUUAAUAUUAAAAAUAAAAACUAAAAAUUAAAGUUGAAACUAUUUUUGGUAUUUUCAAGGAUUAUACUCCCUCUGUUUCAAUUUAUGUAAACCUAUUUCCUUUUUGGUCUGUGCCAAAAAGAAUGACUCAUUUCCUUAUUUGGAAACAAUUUACCUUUAUGUAAUGAUUUAUAGCCACACAAAAUAUACGUGCCUCAUUUUACACCACAAGUUGAAAAGUCUUCUCUCUUUUUUUAAACUCCGUACCUAGUCAAAUGGGUUCACAUAAAUUGAAACGGAGGGAGUAUUAGAAUAAAAAUAGGUUAAAAGUAAUAUGUCUUUCUAAAAAUACCUAAUACUGAAUUAAAUAGAAAAGUGAAACUAUUUUUUUUAUAUUUUUCAAUUUUUGUGCCUAAAAAUAAAAUUAAAUUUAAUAGUAGAGUGAAGUCCUAUAGAAAUAAAUUUAAAUAAAUAUCCUAAAAAUAAUGGGUCUAUUAAAGGUAAUUCUAAUGCGUGGGUCAAAAAUUACAUGUCCACAAGUAUAAUUCAAAGUAUUUCUCACAGCAUCAUAUCCAUCAUCUGGGUUUAUUACAAUCAAACUCUGGAAAUAUUAAUUCUGCUUUUGGGCCUCUAAAUGAGCCCAAAGUAUUGACUGGUGUCAGGGAGUUCGAUUGGAUGUGGGGCUACAUAAUGGGAUGGAUACUGAGCUGUGUAAAAGAGUUGUUCAUAAUGGCUUGGUAAGCAAGAGGAGGUAAAAAGGUGCGGCUCACGGGUAUUUGUGUAGUGGUCGGGUUACUCUGCACGACAUAAAUGGGUAAGCCUAUGUUGUGAACAGAGUGUGGCAAAGCAAUAGGUACAGAUGAAAAAUUGGUUGUCAUUGUCGGAUGGGUAAGUGACAAAGAGUCGCUGGAUAUAGGGAUGGACCAGUGUUAUAAGGUAAUGAAGCAAGAUGCGAAGAAAUGGGUAAGGUAGUUGUAUUACUGCUAGGAUUGAAGGGAGCUGCAGAAAAAGACAUACCCCUACUUGUUUGUAGAAAAAUUGGUGUCACCGGAGAAGUAAUGAGUCUGCUCGUAACACCCACUGAAGAAUCGCCCCUUUCUAAUGAAGAACCUCAUAUAACCGAUGCAGCCACCGAUCUCCCCGAAAUCGUCGAAUCAAUCCUUUGUUCUGACUCAAAAUGGCUCAGCAACAUAUCGAGCCUGCGAUUGUUUUCUUCCUACCUUUGCAUGUCCUCAGCAUUCAAACGAGCUUGACUUUUUUCAAGCAUUUCCAUUCUUCUUCUCGACUCACCAAUAUAUGUUUGAAGUUGUUCAUCGAUUCUGCGCCAACCAUCGUCGGGAGCUUUUUCUUUUUGUGAUUCGACCAUUGUUACCACAGUUCGCCGGAAAAGCCUGGCUCUAGAUACCACUUGUAGCGUUACAGCUACAGAGAAUAGAAAAGGAAUUGUAAGAAAUUGAACAAGAAGGAAAAAUUAAAUAAGCUUUAUCAUUUCUCCGAUGAUAGUUAAACUGACGAGGCAAGGAUAUAUACUAUGAUAACUACAGCUGUGACUAAAUUCCCUUCCAAUGAGAAACCAACAGCUAUUGUACCGCACCCUCUAACGGC